RNAcentral lists this ribosomal RNA (277 nucleotides) under uncultured bacterium. RNAcentral describes it as "partial 16S ribosomal RNA". It matches the Rfam family "Bacterial small subunit ribosomal RNA", at positions 28 to 309 of the family's 1533-position model. The record is from RNAcentral.
GAGAAACGCUGGCGGCGUGCCUAACACAUGCAAGUCGAACGCUUUGUACUACGGUACAGAGAGUGGCGGACGGGUGAGUACCACGUGGGUGAUCUGCCUUUGGGUGAGGAAUACCGGCGAGAAGUCGCCGACAAUCCCGCAUACGCUUCGUUAUUCACGAAGCAAAGCCUCUCGCAAGAGAGACGCCCGAAGAGGAGCCCGCGCCCGAUUAGCCAGUUGGUGGGGUAAUGGCCUACCAAAGCAACGAUCGGUAGCUGGUCUGAGAGGAUGAUCAGCC